RNAcentral lists this ribosomal RNA (253 nucleotides) under uncultured bacterium. RNAcentral describes it as "partial 16S ribosomal RNA". It matches the Rfam family "Bacterial small subunit ribosomal RNA", at positions 524 to 776 of the family's 1533-position model. The record is from RNAcentral.
UACGUAGGGUGCAAGCGUUGUCCGGAAUUAUUGGGCGUAAAGAGCUCGUAGGCGGUCUGUCGCGUCGGCUGUGAAAUCCCGGAGCUCAACUCCGGGCCUGCAGUCGAUACGGGCAGACUGGAGUUCGGCAGGGGAGACUGGAAUUCCUGGUGUAGCGGUGAAAUGCGUAGAUAUCUGGAGGAACACCGGUGGCGAAGGCGGCGUUCUGGACUGCAACUGACACUGAUGAACGAAAGCCAGGGGAGCAAACGGG